This 554-nucleotide ribosomal RNA is filed under the name Rhodotorula mucilaginosa. Its description in RNAcentral is "partial large subunit ribosomal RNA". It matches the Rfam family "Eukaryotic large subunit ribosomal RNA", at positions 86 to 656 of the family's 3401-position model. RNAcentral also lists the same sequence under 1 other name. Lineage: Eukaryota; Fungi; Basidiomycota; Microbotryomycetes; Sporidiobolales; Sporidiobolaceae. The record is from RNAcentral.
GCGGCGAGCGAAGCGGGAAGAGCUCAAAUUUAUAAUCUGGCACCUUCGGUGUCCGAGUUGUAAUCUCUAGAAAUGUUUUCCGCGUUGGACCGCACACAAGUCUGUUGGAAUACAGCGGCAUAGUGGUGAGACCCCCGUAUAUGGUGCGGACGCCCAGCGCUUUGUGAUACAUUUUCGAAGAGUCGAGUUGUUUGGGAAUGCAGCUCAAAUUGGGUGGUAAAUUCCAUCUAAAGCUAAAUAUUGGCGAGAGACCGAUAGCGAACAAGUACCGUGAGGGAAAGAUGAAAAGCACUUUGGAAAGAGAGUUAACAGUACGUGAAAUUGUUGGAAGGGAAACGCUUGAAGUCAGACUUGCUUGCUGAGCAAUCGGUUUGCAGGCCAGCAUCAGUUUUCCGGGAUGGAUAAUGGUAGAGAGAAGGUAGCAGUUUCGGCUGUGUUAUAGCUCUCUGCUGGAUACAUCUUGGGGGACUGAGGAACGCAGUGUGCCUUUGGCGGGGGUUUCGACCUCUUCACACUUAGGAUGCUGGUGGAAUGGCUUUAAACGACCCGUCUUG